Molecule: ribosomal RNA, 512 nt
Filed under: uncultured bacterium
Lineage: Bacteria
Description: partial 16S ribosomal RNA
Rfam family: Bacterial small subunit ribosomal RNA
Source: RNAcentral
GACGAACGCUGGCGGCGUGCCUAAUACAUGCAAGUAGAACGCUGAAGAGAGGAGCUUGCUCUUCUUGGAAGAGUUGCGAACGGGUGAGUAACGCGUAGGUAACCUGCCUUGUAGCGGGGGAUAACUAUUGGAAACGAUAGCUAAUACCGCAUAACAAUGGAUGACCCAUGUCAUUUAUUUGAAAGGGGCAACUGCUCCACUACAAGAUGGACCUGCGUUGUAUUAGCUAGUAGGUGAGGUAACGGCUCACCUAGGCGACGAUACAUAGCCGACCUGAGAGCGUGAUCGGCCAAACUGGGACUGAGACACGGCCCAGACUCCUACGGGAGGCAGCAGUAGGGAAUCUUCGGCAUGGGGGCAACCCUGACCGAGCAACGCCGCGUGAGUGAAGAAGGUUUUCGGAUCGUAAAGCUCUGUUGUAAGUCAAGAACGAGUGUGAGAGUGGAAAGUUCACACUGUGACGGUAGCUUACCAGAAAGGGACGGCUAACUACGUGCCAGCAGCCGCAGUAA